GUUUCACCAGUCAAAAUGGGGUUCGAGGUUGUAGUUAUCAAGUGUUAGGGGUCCUGUCCACCCUUUAGUACGUUAUAACUCGCUCGCUAGCAUUCCUCGAAACGUAAAUAAACCCCAAUCUCCUCCACAGAGUUGAUAUGAAAAGUGGGACGCCUAUUUCUACAUCUGUAAGUUUAGCCUCCCUAUAAUUAGUGAGUGAAGUUCUGGGCUAUUUCUUAUUUAACAUUUGAUGGGCAACAGAUUGCGUCUUCUGCAGCCAUGGCUCCUAUAGCGAAAGAAGCAGAACCCCGAGAAAAGGAACAAAGUAAUACCAUCAUCUUCGAUGAAUCCAAAGGGGAAAUCUUUAAACUUAGUGAUGGAUUCAAGGUGUUACACAAGAAACUCAAGACCCAGUGGAAGAUUGUCAGUAACCGGGAUGACCUGAACAAAGAGACCCUGGGUCAGGCACGAGCUGUCGUGAUUGCCUGUCCACAUCAGAAAU
This is a long non-coding RNA of Macrobrachium nipponense, 481 nucleotides long. RefSeq lists it as uncharacterized. Lineage: Eukaryota; Metazoa; Arthropoda; Malacostraca; Decapoda; Palaemonidae. The transcript has 4 exons. The record is from RefSeq and is a predicted model, not a curated record.